AGAGUUUGAUCCGGCUCAGAACGAACGCUGGCGGCAUGCCUAACACAUGCAAGUCGAACGAACCCUUCGGGGUUAGUGGCGCACGGGUGCGUAACGCGUGGGAAUCUGCCCUUUGCUUCGGAAUAACAGUUAGAAAUGACUGCUAAUACCGGAUGAUGUCUUCGGACCAAAGAUUUAUCGGCAAGGGAUGAGCCCGCGUAGGAUUAGGUAGUUGGUGGGGUAAAGGCCUACCAAGCCGACGAUCCUUAGCUGGUCUGAGAGGAUGAUCAGCCACACUGGGACUGAGACACGGCCCAGACUCCUACGGGAGGCAGCAGUGGGGAAUAUUGGACAAUGGGCGCAAGCCUGAUCCAGCAAUGCCGCGUGAGUGAUGAAGGCUUUCGGGUCGUAAAGCUCUUUUACCAGGGAUGAUAAUGACAGUACCUGGAGAAUAAGCUCCGGCUAACUCCGUGCCAGCAGCCGCGGUAAU
Molecule: ribosomal RNA, 469 nt
Filed under: uncultured Sphingomonas sp.
Lineage: Bacteria; Pseudomonadati; Pseudomonadota; Alphaproteobacteria; Sphingomonadales; Sphingomonadaceae
Description: bacterial SSU rRNA
Rfam family: Bacterial small subunit ribosomal RNA
Source: RNAcentral